UUAAACGUUACUUCAUUGUUAGUCCAGAGAAGAACCAUCAGGGGAGGAUUGCUCCUGCCUCCGAUGCUUUUCCCCGUAGUUGGAAUGAGUUCGUAAACAGGAUGUUUGGAUUUCUAUCGCACUUUCGGAAAAGUGGAAGGAAAAUGAAUGAUGUGAUUGGACACCGUUGCCGGCAUCGAAAAGUUUGGAAUAAAUUCCGCGGGACUCGCACGGGAAAGUUGAGGGGCGGUUAGACCUAUCUUCUUUCCCGAGCUUUUUUGGUUUGAGGUGUGGUAAUGAUCCUUCCGCAGGUUCACCUACGGAAA
This 305-nucleotide unclassified non-coding RNA is filed under the name uncultured fungus. Its description in RNAcentral is "sequence contains ITS1". The record is from RNAcentral. Lineage: Eukaryota; Fungi.